This 262-nucleotide ribosomal RNA is filed under the name uncultured bacterium. RNAcentral describes it as "partial 16S ribosomal RNA". It matches the Rfam family "Bacterial small subunit ribosomal RNA", at positions 99 to 354 of the family's 1533-position model. The record is from RNAcentral.
CGAACGGGUGAGUAACACGUGGGCAACCCUGCCCAAAAGAGGGGGAUAACACUUGGAAACAGGUGCUAAUACCGCAUAACCAUAGUUACCGCAUGGUAGCUAUGUAAAAGGUGGCUAUGCUACCGCUUUUGGAUGGGCCCGCGGCGCAUUAGCUAGUUGGUGGGGUAAGGGCUUACCAAGGCAAUGAUGCGUAGCCGAACUGAGAGGUUGAUCGGCCACAUUGGGACUGAGACACGGCCCAAACUCCUACGGAAGGCAGCAG